UAAAAUCACAGUAAAAGGAUAUAUUGUUUGUAGCUCUUAGUUAAAGAAAGAUUUUCCACGGCUGAAAGAAAAUCACUAAACUAACAUCGAUGCUCCCUUUUAAUUAAACUUAUAGUAGCAAUACUAUCGCAUUCUUCGCGUUAUCGAAGACUUAAGAGGUAAUGAUACAUCCAAUGGAUUUCAUUGCAAACAAGGUGGUACCGCGAUUUUUUCGUCCUUGUA
This 222-nucleotide non-coding RNA is filed under the name Carnobacterium divergens. The record is from RNAcentral. Lineage: Bacteria; Bacillati; Bacillota; Bacilli; Lactobacillales; Carnobacteriaceae.